RNAcentral lists this long non-coding RNA (214 nucleotides) under Solanum tuberosum (potato). Its description in RNAcentral is "long non-coding RNA (STUB_LNC003797)". The record is from RNAcentral. Lineage: Eukaryota; Viridiplantae; Streptophyta; Magnoliopsida; Solanales; Solanaceae.
CCCAUGCUUUAUAAGGAGAACUGAUCCCAAAGUUUAGGGCGUCUGGAAAAGCGUAAAAAUCACAAGGAGCAAGAAGAAGAAGAAAGAACGAAGAAUGGUACAUCACUCUAAUCCAAAACGGAAGUUGGAAUUAAGAGUUGUUUGUAAUGUCUUCUAGUUUUUCACAUAUUUUUGUGAACUUGUUUAUUUCUAUGGAGUAAAUUCUAAAUAGGGC